GUUAAGGUGGCAGAGCCUGGUAAUUGCAAAAGACCUAAGUCCUUUAAUUCAGAGGUUCAAUUCCUCUCCUUAACU
This 75-nucleotide transfer RNA is filed under the name Mobula tarapacana (Chilean devil ray). Its description in RNAcentral is "tRNA-Leu". It matches the Rfam family "tRNA". From Rfam's summary of the family: Transfer RNA (tRNA) molecules are approximately 80 nucleotides in length. The record is from RNAcentral. Lineage: Eukaryota; Metazoa; Chordata; Chondrichthyes; Myliobatiformes; Myliobatidae.